RNAcentral lists this long non-coding RNA (377 nucleotides) under Zostera marina. Its description in RNAcentral is "long non-coding RNA (ZMAR_LNC004527)". The record is from RNAcentral. Lineage: Eukaryota; Viridiplantae; Streptophyta; Magnoliopsida; Alismatales; Zosteraceae.
UAUUUCUCAAUAGAGUUCUAUUGAAAAAGAUUCUUGGUAUUCUUAGAACUCAAUCUCUUCUUCACUCCUCUUGAUAUCGAUCGUUAUCACUCUUGUGAUGAAUCAUGAGAUGAUACGAUUCCAGCAGAACUACCACACACUGGCAUCAGAUAUGAAGCUCUCAGAGGAGACGUCACCAAAAUUCUGCAGGACGGCGACCUAAAUUCUGGAGUUGGGUUAGAAGAUGACCCAGGGGAUUCUAACGGCAGCAAUCCCGGUUCACCAGCAAGACUCCGAUCGAAGAGAGAGACGCGGCGACCCGAUUGGACUAGGGAUUACGAAAUGUGAACUAGCGGAAAUCCCCAAUUUGAGAAUGGGCAAAUUAAUUAGUAGUCCCC